CCUGACCACAUUGGCCUUGUUUAUUCAGUGAUAUUCACGUGCCCGUGUUGCUGUCGAAUGAUCUGCUGCGCGGUUUCGAUGCUGUCGUCGCUUUCUUGUCGUUCAUGGGAGGCCAGCUGCGAACAGGUGAAAGACCGAAAAAGAGGGGAGUUGCACCAGUUGCGCUCAGUACGACGAGUGAUCUGACAGUCGUCAGUCGUCAUGCUCGGCGUGUGCGCGCGGUCUGCUGGUAGCUUAACCGCAGCAGUGUUCGGCAAGGAGUUUUUACCUCUUUCUUGGCCGCUGGUAAGAUGCAGAAAUCUGCAAUCGGCAGCACCGCAGGAACUCAUUCAGCCUGCAAACAGCCAUGAUGAACCUCCGAAAGUCCUUACUGAUUCCUUUGGUCGGAAGCAUUCCUACCUUCGGAUUUCACUUACGGAAAAGUGCAACCUCAGAUGUGUCUACUGCAUGCCGGCAGAAGGCGUGCCAUUGACGCCAAAUGAGAAGCUGCUUUCUUCUGACGAAAUUGUCCAUUUGGCAACUCUCUUUGCCACCUUUGGUGUGAACAAAGUACGCCUCACCGGAGGAGAGCCGUUGGUCCGGAAAGAUACACUGGACAUUGUUGAAAGGCUGUCACAAAUUCCACAGCUGGAAACUUUGGGAAUGACAACCAACGGGCUCGUUUUGUCCCGGAAACUGGCUGAUUUGAAAAAGGCUGGUUUGACGCACCUCAACAUUAGCCUCGACACUAUGGUACCAGCAAAGUUUGAGUUUCUUGCCAGACGCAAGGGGUGGCAGGUUGUGCGGAAAAGCAUUGACCAGGCGCUGGAAAUGGGGUUCCAAUCGUUAAAGAUCAACUGCGUUGUGAUGAAAGGCAUCAAUGAAGAUGAACUGGUGGAUUUUGUCCGGCUCACAGAGUCAAACGACCUUGAAAUUCGAUUUAUUGAGUACAUGCCCUUUGAUGGAAACAAGUGGAGUACAAAGAAGCUUGUGAGCUUUGAAGACAUGCUUUCGAUUAUCAAGAAGGAGUUGCCCGAUCUAAAGCGGUGCCAGGAUGAACCAAACCACACAUCAAAGAUUUUCAGAGUACCAGGAUGGAUGGGCCGUGUUGGAUUCAUCACUUCAAUGACCGAGCACUUUUGUGGUACCUGCAACCGCCUUCGGAUAACUGCUGAUGGCAACCUGAAGUAUUUCCCGCAUUGUAUCUCUAUCUGGGCCAGGAUUUUCUUCGACAUCCCCUCUCAUUAAAAGCACGAGUGCUCUCCAGCGACAAUCAGCAAUGGCAACAAGGAGCAGUUUCACGCGCCUUGGGCAAGGCAACAGCAAUAAACAACGGUCAUCUGAGCGGUGUGCCUGUUUGGUAAUCAUGAAGUUUCAUUGCGUGAUGCUUUGCGAAGCAAGGUCUCAUCCGACGAGCUUCUCAGCAUUAUCGGCAG
Molecule: RNA transcript, 1415 nt
Organism: Ixodes scapularis (black-legged tick)
Lineage: Eukaryota; Metazoa; Arthropoda; Arachnida; Ixodida; Ixodidae
Gene: Mocs1
Gene name: molybdenum cofactor biosynthesis protein 1
Exons: 10
Source: RefSeq, a predicted model, not a curated record